RNAcentral lists this ribosomal RNA (305 nucleotides) under uncultured bacterium. Its description in RNAcentral is "bacterial SSU rRNA". It matches the Rfam family "Bacterial small subunit ribosomal RNA", at positions 337 to 634 of the family's 1533-position model. The record is from RNAcentral.
GCCUACGGGGGGCAGCAGUAGGGAAUCUUCCACAAUGGGCGAAAGCCUGAUGGAGCAACGCCGCGUGGGUGAAGAAGGUCUUCGGAUCGUAAAACCCUGUUGUUAGAGAAGAAAGUGCGUGAGAGUAACUGUUCACGUUUCGACGGUAUCUAACCAGAAAGCCACGGCUAACUACGUGCCAGCAGCCGCGGUAAUACGUAGGUGGCAAGCGUUAUCCGGAUUUAUUGGGCGUAAAGGGAACGCAGGCGGUCUUUUCAGUCUGAUGUGAAAGCCUUCGGCUUAACCGGAGUAGUGCAUUGGAAACU